CAUGUUGGCAUGGUCCAUUGAUUCAGCCCUGUUUCUUUACAAUGAAGGCAAGUAUUUUACUCUUGAACCACCUUGACUGUUGUAUUAUUAGUACCUUUUGGACAUUUUGUUACCAUAACUAGUGUUGGCACUGCAGCGCGCAUGGUGCAUGGGCGUGGCAAGCAUGACGUGUGGGAGCUGCUGUACAUGCCUGCCUGCAUGAUUGCUGACGCAAUGCGGAACAAAGCAAAAGCAAAAAUAUAUCAGCGACCUCCUUUCCAGAAGCUGCAGCAGAACGAGCAGCAGUUUGACUACAAAUACCCUUACUAACAGAAAUGAGGAGUUGUACUACGAAGCUCGCUCUGUGUGGGACAUUUUUGUCGAACUAUUAUUGUCUAAUAAAGGUUCUUUGUGUUGAG
Rhipicephalus microplus (southern cattle tick) is the source of this 398-nucleotide long non-coding RNA. The record is from RefSeq and is a predicted model, not a curated record. NCBI's taxonomy places the organism in Eukaryota, Metazoa, Arthropoda, Arachnida, Ixodida, Ixodidae.